CCGACUGCAUCGGCGUCUACUGCAACUUCCACGAAGGCUUUCUGUCCUUCUACAACGCCCGGACCAAGCAGCUGCUCCACACCUUCAAGGCCAAGUUCACGCAGCCCGUGCUGCCAGCCUUCAUGGUGUGGUGUGGCAGCUUCCAGGUGACCUCGGGCCUGCAGGUGCCCAGCGCCGUGCGGUGCCUGCAGAAGAGGAACAGCACUGCCAGCAGCUCCAGCCUGCCCUGAGAGCCGUGCCCCCUCCACGGGCACCCCCCUCCCCCAGGGCACGAGCACUGAAUGUACCCC
Empidonax traillii (willow flycatcher) is the source of this 290-nucleotide long non-coding RNA. RefSeq lists it as uncharacterized. Lineage: Eukaryota; Metazoa; Chordata; Aves; Passeriformes; Tyrannidae. The transcript is spliced from 3 exons. The record is from RefSeq and is a predicted model, not a curated record.